GACGAACGCUGGCGGCGUGCCUAAUACAUGCAAGUAGAACGCUGAAGAGAGGAGCUUGCUCUUCUUGGAUGAGUUGCGAACGGGUGAGUAACGCGUAGGGAACCUACCUUGUAGCGGGGGAUAACUAUUGGAAACGAUAGCUAAUACCGCAUAACAAUGAAUGACACAUUUCAUUUAUUUGAAAGGGGCAAUUGCUCCACUACAAGAUGGACCUGCGUUGUAUUAACUAGUCGGUGAGGUAAUGGCUCACCUAGGGGAAGAUACAUAGCAGACCUGAGAGGGUGGACGGCCACACUGGGACUGAGACACGGGCCAUUCUCCUACGGGAGGCAGCAGUAGUGGAUCUUCAGCAAUGGAGGCAACCCUGACCGAGCAACGCCGCGUGAGUGAAGAAGGUAUGCGGAUCGUAAAGCUCUGGUGUAAGUCAAGAACGGGUGUGAGAGUGGAAAGUUCACACUGUGACGGGAGCUGACCAGAAAGGGACGGCUAACUACGUG
This 497-nucleotide ribosomal RNA is filed under the name uncultured bacterium. RNAcentral's name for it is "partial 16S ribosomal RNA". It matches the Rfam family "Bacterial small subunit ribosomal RNA", at positions 28 to 507 of the family's 1533-position model. The record is from RNAcentral.